This 252-nucleotide ribosomal RNA is filed under the name Triticum aestivum (bread wheat). RNAcentral describes it as "partial small subunit ribosomal RNA". Lineage: Eukaryota; Viridiplantae; Streptophyta; Magnoliopsida; Poales; Poaceae. The record is from RNAcentral.
AUUGAAUCAAUCUCAUCAAUGAAGAUGAUUGAUGGUGCAUUCUUCUCUGCUUCUUCAAAUGCCUUCCUGAGAUUGCUCUCACUUUCUCCUGCUAACUUGGACAUAAUUUCUGGGCCAUUGAUCAGGAAGAAGAAUGCGCCCGUCUCAUUGGCAACAGCCCUCGCAAUAAGGGUCUUGCCAGAGCCAGGUGGUCCAAACAGCAAUAUGCCCUUUGGAGGCUUCACACCAAUAGACUUGAAAAGUUGAGGGUGA